UUUGAUUUGUUUUGCUUUGCCUGUUGCUUUUCUAAUGAAUUAGUCCCGGUGUUUAAAGGAUUGCCUAGUAAAGUCAUUGAAACAUCAUUUUUUUCAAAUAUUAUCUAAAAUUUCCUUGGAACUAAGGUUUUAUGCAAUGAUCUAUUAAAUAAUGAAUACGCACAUGGUAAUAGAAAAUUAAAAUAUCCCUUUAAUUCCUACUGAUUCACUUAAGAGAAAAUUCAGAAACCUUCUCAUAUAGAAUUGCAAUUCCUUAUUAUGUUAUAUAUUUAUAAGUUGAUAAUGAAAAGGCAACUUUAAUCAAAAGUUAAUUUAAAAACUCACAACAUAAUCAUUUGGUUUAUUCAAUUAAAUAGUACUGAAUUUCAAGAGUGUGUAGUAAUAAUGAACAAAUAUAAAUUGAGGAAAAGAAGUGAAAGUCUCAGAAGCUUUAGAGUGAUGAAUAAGAAGGCUGAUACUGGUUACAUUGGCCUUUGUUUUCUAUUGUACUAAAGUUGCAGUUAAUGAAAUAUUUGAGUAGCAAAGAUAAGAGACAAAGAUGCUUCACAAAAUACUGGUAAUAAAACUCUUCUUCUAAAAAGACAGCUACCCAAUAUGCUUGAUACUUAUCGAGGACCUAUAUUUUUUAAAAAACAGAAGCCCAGCAGAGUCAUCGUUUCUCUAGGCUCACAUUCUCCUUUGUCUAGUAGGAUGUGUGUUAUGAAUAUAAAUGAACUUUUGAGACUUAGUUAUAAAGAUCUCUGGCACAUCACUAAGCAUUUUAGUCCUCUCUGUUAGCUGGUUUCCUGUGGGCUGUGUCUGUUAUCUUUCCUCUCAUGCCGCAUCCAGUCUCUACUGUGAUUAGGCUCUUGAGGACAGGGGAUAUUUCUUCCUGAAGUUUGUACCUGCCUAUCCUGGCCAAGGUUUCUGCUCUAAAUUCUUUCCUAUUUCCUUACCUUGGUGAGAUGGGCUAUAAGUCUAGGACUCCUACUUUUAUCUUUCUUGACAAAUACCUAGAGCAGGUGCAGCUCUAGCUGCUCAUCUCACACUCCUUCUGGCGUAGAAGAUCUGCCUGGAUCUUCUUAUCAGAGGCAACUUUCUAAAGAUUUUAUCAGCCAAGAAGAGAAAGUUUGGCAAGCCAUUACAAGAAGGGAACUAGAAACUUCUUCAAGUUCAUAGGUCUCUAAUCGUGGGAAACCUCGUAUGGCAGAAUGCAGGUCCAAAAGUCCUGGACUCUGAUCCAGAUAAACGGAAGUCUCAGGAAGAAAUAAAGAAAUUGGGACACAGAGAAUGUAAAUGGAGAUGCAGUGGAAUCAGACUCCAGAGUUCCCACUCAAAAACUUUUCUCUCUCUCCUAUCUUGUGAGGAAGGACAUUUUAGGUAUUACUUCAUCUAGAAAGGAAUGGCUCUUCAGCGAGGCAAGCAGAACUGGGAAUGCAGAGCCCAGGUUUGCAGCUUCACUUCUGAAGUCAAGCGAUACCAUGAACCCACCAGAAGGAAGAAACUCUGGACACAUCUGAAGGAAUAAACUCCGGACACACCUUCUUUAAGAGCUGUAACACUCACUGCGAGGGUCGGCGGCUUCAUUCUUGAAGUCAGUGAGACCAAGAACCCACCGGAAGGAACCAAUUCUGGACACAUUACCACAGGACCUCUCGGUCUAGUCUUUUAUAGGCAUACCUGCUUCUUGUUCCACCCACCCCCAUACCCAAUACCUGGUAACCACUAGUCUGCUUUCCAUCUCCAUAAUGUCAUUAUUUCAAGAAUGUUAUAUAAAUGGAACGAGAUAGCAUAUAGGCUUCUUAGUUUGCCUGUUGAAAAUACAGCACGAUGCCCUUAAGAUCCAUCCAAGUUGUUGUAUUAUCAAUAGUUUGUCUUAUAUGUGAGUAGUAUUCCACAGUAUGGAGAUUCCUCAGUUUAACUAUUUACUUUUGUGUAGUUUCUAGUUUUUCCAUUAUGAAUAAAGCUGCUAUGAACAUUCUUGUGCAAACUUCUGCAUGAAUAGAAGUUUUCAUUUCUCUAGGAUAGAUGUCCAAGGGUUCAAUUGCUGGAUUGUAUGGUUAGUCUGAUCUUAGUUUUAAAAGAAAUGGUGAAACUAUAUGCUGGAGUGGUUGCAUCAUUUUACCUUCCCACCAGCAAUGUAUAAAUGACACAAUUUCUCUGCCUCCUUGCCAGCAUUUGGUGUUGUCACUGUUUUUUUUUUUACACAUUUUGGUAGGUGGGUGUGUAUUGAUAUCUCAUUAUAACUCUGAUUUGGAUUUACUUAAUGGCUAAUGAUAGUGAACAUCUUUUCAUGUGCUUAUUUCCCAGCAAUAUUUGGUGAAAUAUCUCUUCAUUUUUUUCCUAUAUUUUCUAAUUGGAUUGAUUGGGUGGAGUAUCUCUUCAUUUUUCUCCCAUUUUCUAAUUGGUUUGUUUCCUGUUGAAUGUUAAGACUUCCUAUGUGGAAUGCUUGUACACUGUUGGGAGUGUAAAUUAGUUCAACUAUUGUGAAAGAUGGUGCAGCAAUUCCUGAAAGAAUUAAAACCAGAAAUACCAUUCAACCCAGCAAUUCCAUUACUGGGUGCAUACCCCAAGGGAUAUAAAUUGUUCUAUCAUAAAGACACAUGCACUCAUAUGUUCAUUGCAACACUAUUCACAAUAGCCAAAACAUGGAAUCAACCUAAAUGUCCAUCAGUGAUGGACUGGAUAAAGAAAAUGUGGUACAUAUAUACCGUGGAAUACUAUGCAGCCAUGAAAAAGAGAUUAUGUCUUUUGCAGGAACAUGGAUGGAGCUGGAGGUCAUUAUCCUUAGCAAAUCGAUGUAGGAACAGAAAACCAAGUACUGCAUGUUCUCAUAAGUGGAAGCUAAAUGAUGGGGAGACAUGGACAAAGAGAGGGGGACCACAUACACUGGGGCCUACUGGAGGGUAGAGAGGGGAGGAAGAAAAGGAUCAGGAAAAAUAACUAAUGGGUACUAGGUUUAAUAGCUGGGUGAUGAAGUAAUCUGUAUAACAAACCCCCAUCACACAAGUUUAUCUAUAUAACAAACGUGUACCCCUGAGCUUAAAAGUUAAAAAAGAGUUCCAUGUGUAUUGGAAAUACAAGUCCUUUGUCAGUUACAUGAUAUGAAAAUAUUUUCUUCCAGAAUGUCAUUUGUCUUUUUGUCUUCUUAAUAGGGUCUUUCACAAAACAAACAUUUUAAAUUAUGAUGGGGUCCAACUUAUAAAUUUUUCUUUUCACUUACUUUUUAGUCAACAAAUAAUUAUUGAAUAUCAACAAUUUAUUAAGAUAUUGUUCCAGGCACCCUGUAGAGAUCACGGAUGUGACAUAGCUUUAACUUCGGGCACUUAGAGUCUAGCAGGGGAGAUUGGAGAUCUAUGCAAAUAACUAAUAAUACAUAGCAAGUGCUAAGUGACAUGGAAGAGGUCGAGAUACAUUUUUGGCUGAUAAGGAAGCAGUGAGUGAAAGUUUUAUUUCACCACUUAUGCGCCAGAAAUGUCACAAAAUAGCAUAGAAUCUUCAUUUAUAAACUCAUUUUCCAGGUUGAAAAUGAUAGUUUUUAAAUAAGUAACAUAUAAUAAAUCUCAUGUACAAAAUGAUUCCACAUACAUUGUAUCAAUAACAAUCUUACAGGGUGGUGGAGAGGAUUACAACAUAUUUUAUAUGUGAAAAAAUCUUGGAUUCAGCCAAGUUAAGCAACUUGCCCAAGGUCAUGCAGCCAGGAAGUGUAUAAACUCAUCAGUCUUCUGGCUAAGAAAUGAAUUGUCUGAUUCGCAUUUUAAAAGAAGACGUGGUACGGUUCCUUGUGCACACAAAUGUCAAAGAGCUCUUAUUGAUAAAGGAGGAAUCCAUUAAUGCUCUUACGGUGGUCAAGAUCAUGCAGAAAAUGGAAAAACAAGCGCUGCCUGUGAGUCAUGAAGUGAUGCUAUGGUUGGAUUCAAUGACAUUUUGCUGGAGACUGCUCAGGAUGGGGGAAUUGAGAACAUGGUAUUUUAGGUCAUCUGUGCCAGACACACUGUUAUCCAAAAUCAUCUUCAGAUGCCAAACCUUUCACAGAGAACAUUAAAAAGCAGUCAGUAUUAGCGCUGGUGAAGAAAGGUGGGCCUGUUUCUAACCCAAAGGACUACCUACCAAUAGGAAACUGGGGCUCAUUUUCAUUCCUCUGUCUCUGGGCUUCCAUCUGUACUUCCUGCCUUAUUUGUGACCUUGCUCGAAUCACUUAACUAUUCUGUAUUUAUUUGUCUUUCUUUUAAAGUGUUUAUAACUUAGGUAAGAUGUUAGGACUUUGAUUCUGAGAGUCUGUAAAGAAGUGGAUUGACUAAGUCAGCUUUGCAAACAUCUGCAUAAUGCCAAAUAAACUUUGAACCCAGCA
Molecule: long non-coding RNA, 4330 nt
Organism: Homo sapiens (human)
Lineage: Eukaryota; Metazoa; Chordata; Mammalia; Primates; Hominidae
Exons: 5
Source: RefSeq, a predicted model, not a curated record